Molecule: ribosomal RNA, 386 nt
Filed under: uncultured bacterium
Lineage: Bacteria
Description: bacterial SSU rRNA
Rfam family: Bacterial small subunit ribosomal RNA
Source: RNAcentral
GAUGAACGCUAGCGGCAGGCUUAAUACAUGCAAGUCGAGGGGCAGCAUAAGUAGCAAUACUUGAUGGCGACCGGCAAACGGGUGCGGAACACGUACGCAACCUUCCUUUAAGUGGGGAAUAGCCCGGGGAAACCCGGAUUAAUACCCCGUAAUAUUAUGAUGUGGCAUCACAUUAUAAUUAUAGAUUCAUCGCUUAAAGAUGGGCGUGCGCCUGAUUAGGUAGUUGGCGGAGUAAUAGCCCACCAAGCCUGCGAUCAGUAACUGGUGUGAGAGCACGACCAGUCACACGGGCACUGAGACACGGGCCCGACUCCUACGGGAGGCAGCAGUAAGGAAUAUUGGUCAAUGGACGCAAGUCUGAACCCAGCCAUGCCGCGUGGAGGAUG